Eucalyptus grandis is the source of this 1017-nucleotide long non-coding RNA. RefSeq lists it as uncharacterized. The transcript has 2 exons. The record is from RefSeq and is a predicted model, not a curated record. NCBI's taxonomy places the organism in Eukaryota, Viridiplantae, Streptophyta, Magnoliopsida, Myrtales, Myrtaceae.
AGGUCUACGUCUUGGGGUUGAAAUUUCAUGUGGAAUUUGAUGGUUUUUUGGCGUUGGAAGGCGGAAAACAGGAGCUUGCUUAAGAAGGGAAAAGAACCGGUUGUAAAGCCGGCUCUUCUCUUCGGGGAAUGAGGAACCGAAAUUGAACCGGUUCGUCCGGUUGACGGCUGCACGUUAUUGCCCCCGCCUCCGCGCCUUCGCUCCGUUCUCCUUUGCUCCCCAAUCUCCGCCCGUCGAGUCGCUCAGCUGCUUCCGUGGCGUUCACCUCAGUUGAGCUCGUCGCUUCCGCAGCAAAAGCUCCGUCUCUCGAGUCCGUCGCCCUUGAUCAUCCCCCUUCGCGUCCCUAUUCAUUGUGCAGGCCAUUGACUAGAGGACUCGGAUGUUUCUCUUCAAGAUGCUCAACCGUCAAUUAUAUAAUGAUAUAAAUGGUUGCAUCUACACUGGCAAAGAAGUGUGUUAUCAUCUACAGUGAGCAGUACUCGCUGCUUUCUUUUUUCUACCAAUUGAAUGUGGGUGGAACUUGAUCACAUCAUUGUUAUAAUUUCACGACUUUACUUGUGAUUUGUUCAUAUUUUUGGCAGUAGAGUGCAUGGUCUCUUGACCCUAUUGUCACUCUGACUUUUGUAAAUGUCUUUCAUGCAUAAAAAUCUGACAGGCAAGAACUGGCAAUCAAAGUUUACAAGACUUCAGUGCUCGUGUUCAAGUUGGUGUGAUAGUCUUAAGUUGUUUGCAAGGCCCCUCCACAGGUGUUUGAAAGUGCAGUACUGCAUUUACUACAUUUUUGUGGCUUUAUUCUUUCUAGAUUAAUGAUUAAUAUGAUAGCAGUCACUGCUAGAUUGUGGUGAAUGUUGGCUUAUUUUGUCUGAUACUUUUUGUGUCUUAGGAGCUACUAUUAGUUCUUUUUCUUUAUUAUUUGGCUGAAAGGAGCUAUUCUUAGUUUGCAAUGUGAUUUAUCUUCAAUUCUACAAUGUGUGGUGUUUUGUGGAUUUAGUUUAUGGUAGUUUUCAUUUUUCUUUU